GUGCUUGCCUCAACAGCAUAAAUACUAAAACUGGAAUGAAACAGAAGAUCAACAUGGCCUCCGAGCAAAGUUUACAUGCAAAUUCCUGAAAUGUUCUGCCUUUUA
Molecule: small nuclear RNA, 105 nt
Organism: Ailuropoda melanoleuca (giant panda)
Lineage: Eukaryota; Metazoa; Chordata; Mammalia; Carnivora; Ursidae
Source: Ensembl